AAACGUAGGAGGCGAGCGUUAUCCGGAUUUACUGGGCGUAAAGAGCGUGUAGGCGGUUUAGUAAGUCGGACGUGAAAGCUCCCGGCUCAACUGGGAGAGGCCGUUCGAUACUGCUGGACUUGAGGGCAGUAGAGGGAGGUGGAAUUCCGGGUGUAGCGGUGAAAUGCGUAGAUAUCCGGAGGAACACCAGUGGCGAAGGCGGCCUCCUGGACUGUCACUGACGCUAAGACGCGAAAGCUAGGGUAGCAAACGGGAUUAGAAACCCCAGUAGUCC
Molecule: ribosomal RNA, 274 nt
Filed under: uncultured bacterium
Lineage: Bacteria
Description: partial 16S ribosomal RNA
Rfam family: Bacterial small subunit ribosomal RNA
Source: RNAcentral